Small nucleolar RNA from Lathyrus oleraceus (garden pea), 106 nucleotides. Lineage: Eukaryota; Viridiplantae; Streptophyta; Magnoliopsida; Fabales; Fabaceae. The record is from RefSeq and is a predicted model, not a curated record.
AAUCCCAUGAAAUAGGGAUAUCCUCAGCAAGUCUUUGAAUCUCUCCCAAGCCUCAAAAAGAGACUCAUCUUUUUCCUGCCUAAAAUUAGAAAUUUGGAUUCUUAUU